CGCCUAAACCCAUAAAUCUUGGGCAUGGCGCAAAAACCUUUCACAGAUAUUAAGCUCGUCGUCAGAGCAUCUGUGAAAGGUCAUAUCUCGAAAGGGGUAUGGGUGGUCGCAAGGCCAUC
This 119-nucleotide small RNA is filed under the name unclassified sequences. Its description in RNAcentral is "LOOT RNA". It matches the Rfam family "LOOT RNA". Rfam says of the family: Latescibacteria, OD1/Parcubacteria, OP11, TM7. Lineage (Microgenomates, aka OP11) The record is from Rfam by way of RNAcentral.